Molecule: long non-coding RNA, 358 nt
Organism: Amphimedon queenslandica
Lineage: Eukaryota; Metazoa; Porifera; Demospongiae; Haplosclerida; Niphatidae
Exons: 4
Source: RefSeq, a predicted model, not a curated record
UCAGUUUUGUUAGCUAUAAAAACAAAAAUACCAGGCUCCUGCUAUGUAGUAGGAGGGGGCUGAGGGGAAAUUCUACUACAGUGAUGAAGAUCAUAUGACUCACAUCACAUGAAAAUCAUAUGAGUUACAGAGGCUAUUAUAGCAGUCUGGCACUUGUUGACUAGUGAGAGAGCUCAUGAAUAGAGUCUAAUGAUGAGCUUUCUUGGCAUACUGCUACUUUUGAUUACUUUGCUACUUGUUUAUUGUUGCUAUCGUUUGUAUCAUGCGUAUGGUGUCCUUAAGAGGCUGGGAAUCCCUCAUCCUCCCGUUACGCCUUUAAUGGGAAAUGGAAUAGAACUUUUAAAAAUGUCUUCAACUG